Long non-coding RNA from Oncorhynchus tshawytscha (Chinook salmon), 2199 nucleotides. Lineage: Eukaryota; Metazoa; Chordata; Actinopteri; Salmoniformes; Salmonidae. The record is from Ensembl.
AUAUUAUCAGGAAGAUCAUUUAUCUAUUUAUAUGAAUGAGUGGCCUUGUUCUUUUGCAUGAAACAUACCGGUACUUUCUAUGUUUUAUGUGACACUUAUUUUCACAAUUCAUCCCAGGUAGCCUAGCGGUUAGAGCACUGGGCCAGUAACCUGAAGGUUGCUGGUUUAAAUACCCGAGCCAACGAGGUGAAAAAUCUGUUGAUGUACUCUUGAGCAAAAUGGUGAGCAAGGCACUUAACCGUAAUUUACUCAUUUGCUCCAGGGGUACCGUACCACUACAGGGGUACCACACUACUACAGGGGUACCGCACCACUACAGGGGUACCGUACCACUACAGGGGUACCAGGGGUACCGUACCACUACAGGGGUACCACACCACUACAGGGGUACCGUACCACUACAGGGGUACCACACCACUACAGGGGUACCGUACCACUACAGGGGUACCGUACCACUACAGGGGUACCGCACCACUACAGGGGUACCGCACCACUACAGGGGUACCACACCACUACAGGGGUACCACACCACUACAGGGGUACCACACCACUACAGGGGUACCGUACCACUACAGGGGUACCAGGGGUACCACACCACUACAGGGGUACCACACCACUACAGGGGUACCAGGGGUACCAUACCACUACAGGGGUACCGUACCACUACAGGGGCCGUACCACUACAGGGGUACCACACUACUACAAGGGUACCGUACCACUACAGGGGACCGUACCACUACAGGGGUACCGCACCACUACAGGGGUACCACACCACUACAGGGGUACCGUACCACUACAGGGGUACCGCACUACUACAGGGGUACCACACCACUACAGGGGUACCAUACCCCUACAGGGGUACCGCACCACUACAGGGGUACCAGGUGUACCAUACCCCUACAGGGGUACCGCACCACUACAGGGCUACCAGGGGUACCAUACCACUACAGGGGUACCAGGGGUACCAUACCACUACAGGGGUACCACACCACUACAGGGGUACCGUACCACUACAGGGCUACCUGGUAGUAGAGGGGGUACGCAGCUGGAAGUUGACUGUUGAAUAGGGGCGGCAGGGUAGCCUAGUGGUUAGAGCGUUGGAUUAAUAACCAAAAGGUUGCAAGUUCAAAUCCCCGAGCUGACAAGGUACAAAUCUGUCGUUCUGCCCCUGAACAGGCAGUUAAACCACUGUUCCUAGGCCGUCAUUGAAAAUAAGAAUUAGUUCUUAACUGACUUGCCUAGUAAAAAUAAAGGUUUAAUAAUAAUAAUUUUGCCGUAAAAAAAUACAUGUAGAUUAAGGGCUGGAUUCAAUCCAUAUCGCCUUUGGAGGUGUAACAGAUCCACGAUACGGGUUGAAUCCAGCCCGACUAUCCUCCAUCUAGCACGCUAUUGGCUAAGGCCCCAAUAUACUCCUAUAAGAAAUGCAUGUCAAUUUAAAGUUGUUCUGGUCACUCUUGGCUUGUUAGGCCUAGAUUCCAUCAGAUCAAAGCUGUAAACCCGGUGAUAGCCGACACCCGGGUAGUUGAUGUUUUUUGGCGGUGUCGGAGGCGGAACUCUUUAGGAGCUGUCAAAUCGGUGAGCUGCAACACUUGUGAUCAUUGUCAGGAAGCCACACCCAUCCGACGACAGUUAGAAGUUCCGAACGAGAAAGAGUUUAUUGAAUUAUACGAAUAAUAACGCUCAAAUUUAAAAAUCAUUAAAACAAAAAAUAAGAGGAUUUCUAGCAGGCUAAUCAAGGUGUAGAUUACAUCACACAUUCCAGUGUUUUUUAAAAUGUAUUUUUGUACUUGAUUUAAAAACUAGGCAAGUCUGACAGCCUAGGAACAAUGCGUUAACUACCUUCGGUUACGAGUCCAACGCUCUAACCACGAGGCUAUGCUGCCGCCCCAGGUAGCCUUUGAACAAGGCUGCAUGGGUUUUCUCAACGCGACUCCGCGCCGCCAACAGCAAUGUCCACUUUAGGUGUAAUGCCGGGAGCCGCUUGUGGAUUUGACAGCUCGAACGCAGUUCCACCUCAGACACCGCCAAAACAACCACUAUCCGGGUGUCGGAUAUCACUGAUCUGAUAGAAUUCAGCCCCAAAUCUAAUGUAUUAUAAUACUGUAGGGGUUAAUGUAAUAUAAUACUGUAGGGGUUAAUAUAUUAUAAUACUGUAGGGGUUAAGGGUUAAUGUAAUAUAAUACUGUAGGGGUUAAUGUA